UGGGGAAUAUUGCGCAAUGGGGGGAACCCUGACGCAGCCAUGCGCGUGAAUGAAGAAGGCCUUCGGGUUGUAAAGUUCUUUCGGUAUUGAGGAAGGUUGAUGUGUUAAUAGCACAUCAAAUUGACGUUAAAUACAGAAGAAGCACCGGCUAACUCCGUGCCAGCAGCCGCGGUAAUACGGAGGGUGCGAGCGUUAAUCGGAAUAACUGGGCGUAAAGGGCACACAGGCGGUUAUUUAAGUGAGGUGUGAAAGCCCCGGGCUUAACCUGGGAAUUGCAUUUCAGACUGGGUAACUAGAGUACUUUAGGGAGGGGUAGAAUUCCACGUGUAGCGGUGAAAUGCGUAGAGAUGUGGAGGAAUANCCGAAGGGGAANGCAGCCCCCUUGGAAUGUACUGACGCUCAUGUGCGAANGNGGGGGNNGGGAGCAAACAGGAUUAGAUACCCUGGUAGUCCACGCUGUAACGCUGUCGAUUUGGGGGUUGGGGGGUUUNNAUNUNUNNNNNNNNGNCNNCCUNACGUGAUAAAUCGACCGCCUGGGGAGUACGGGCCGCAAGUU
This 556-nucleotide ribosomal RNA is filed under the name uncultured bacterium. RNAcentral describes it as "partial 16S rRNA". It matches the Rfam family "Bacterial small subunit ribosomal RNA", at positions 355 to 894 of the family's 1533-position model. The record is from RNAcentral.